This 2077-nucleotide long non-coding RNA is filed under the name Salmo salar (Atlantic salmon). Its description in RNAcentral is "lncRNA (ENSSSAG00000102977.1)". The record is from RNAcentral. Lineage: Eukaryota; Metazoa; Chordata; Actinopteri; Salmoniformes; Salmonidae.
CAAGGACACACCCAAGAAACACCCACAUCAAAUCACACCCCCAAGACAACUCACGCUUGGCCUCUGUCAUGGCCGCCAGCAGUUCUUGAAGAGCAAGCCAAAAAAACGAGGCCAAAUCAGCUUGCAGUUCCCCUUUAAUUUAGUCUCAAGUCUAAUGCUAAGCACCACAAUUUCUGCACAAGUCAUCCAUCCAUCCUUCGCUUCAUCCUUCGCUCCAACCGUCGCUCCAUCCAUCCAUUUUCUACCACAACAUGAAUUCUUAUUAGAGAGGUUAGGCAUUUAUAAACUCUCCCCUGCCAACAUUUGGGACAAUUUGUGAAAGGUAGCCCCCGCUGCCAACACUCCAAGCCCUCAACAGCCAAACAAGAUAAGCAGACAGCCAUGUUUCCCUCGUAGCAAAGCUAAGCACUGAGGCGUGGACCAGACAGGUUUAAAUAUAGCCGCUGAUUAGAUAGAUCAUUUGUCUCUGUUUAGGCGUCUACGAUUAUGUCACUUAACCUGGCAUGUCACUUUGUGUCCCCUAAGACAGUUUGGACCACCAAGCUAUUGAACAUAAUUACUUUUUGUUUGCAAGCUCGUACAGUGUCCGUACAGACACAUAGUCAAUAAGUGGACAAGAUGGCUAAAGGAUGUUCUUUCAGUGGAUAAAAGAGACCAAUAUCCUAGUCAAAAGAUGCCUCCAGUACAAUGGCAUGCAAGCAGGACCUUUCAUGGACUCCCACAGGUUGCGGCCAACGGUGGAGGCCCUCAAGGACUGCACCUCGGCCGGGGAAACAAGUCGGGAUACAUGGAGGUGGAAAUCCUGAACCCCCAAAAUGAAUAUUGGAACUCCUACUCUCUGAGCUGAAGACUUGUCAUUGGGAGGCAGCUCAUUAGAGACUUCUCCUGUAAUGUGGGAGGCAGCUCAUUAGAGACUUCCCCUGUAAUGUGGGAGGAAGCUCAUUAGAGAAAUGCUAAGGCGUGGUGAGGAAAGCAGGAAGGAGAGACAUCUGCAGCAGAAGGGAAUGGAAGUCAGAGACAUUCGGAUAAUUAAUGUUUGUCUCCUCCCAGUGGCUGACUCCUGGGAACAUCGUGCUUUAUCAAGCGCAACGCCCCAAGAGUUUAUGCUGUAGCAAAGGUGUGGUGACACAGGUACUGUACAUAGAAAGAGAGGAGAGGGCCGGCACCACAUGACACUGUACCGCAUUGUAAUCUAACAAUUAGUCCAAUUGAGCGAUCUCAUCUGUUGUCCAACUGGACAGUUGUGCAUUAUGCAGAUGUCAUUUCGACUAAAUAAAUCUCAUUCGUAACGCUUAUUCUCAUGUGAUUUUCUGCUGUUAAAAGUUAAAGUGAAGCUUGAAGAAAGUGUUAAUGAAUGUCUACUGAUAAAUAUAUCAUUGGGUGUUUAAGAUGUGUGGAAUAAGAUCUCGCCAUGACAGAAUGGUAUAUUUGAUAAGCAUUGUUUAUUUAAAAAAAUGGACUAUAUGGUGGGAUGAUUUAGAAGUUGAGGAUUUGGCUGGAGUGUGAGUGAACCAGGAAGAGACAUUAAGGACAACCUGUUGAAUAUUUAAUAUUGUAUUAGUUCUACUUGGGGUAUCCUUCACAUUACCCUACAUUUUUUCACAGUUUCACUUAAUAGAUUUUACAUUUUUUAAACUAACCAGAUUAAACUCUUAGGGCACUUCUUAAUGAGAAUAAACCUAAAUGGUUGAGUAAAUGAUAUAAAAAGCUACAUUUAAUGUGAUUAUCUUGGUAGGGCCCCUGCUGUCAUUGGUUCCCAAACUCUUUUAAGCUUCAGGACUAGGAGCUAUUCUUAGAGGCGGACAUUUUAGUUUGUUUUAGUGACAAGCCUUAUCUAUUACCAUACUGUAUAGUGUACGAGGACUGUAACCUUUUACCAUUACUGUAACUCUCACAAGAGCUUUGAACACCCUGUUUGAAUGUGUUUCUGUGUGACAGUAACUAAUGUAGCACUAGGUAGCAGCACAGGUUGAUUGUGAAAUGGUUAAAAUAAAUAUUUUACCUAUGAUAGAUGUCUCUUUCAGACAAUAUGUUUCAGUAUAACUGCAUGUCGUUCUGCCCCUGAACAAGGCAGUUG